CCAAUUGCCUUAUCAAAGGUCUUUACCUACUUGGGGACAAAAAUAAACAAGCACAAACAUUGCCUCUUAAGGAGGACUUCAGACAGGUGCCUGGCCAAGUAACAGGCCAGGUCUUCCAGACUACAUGGAGUUAGAUUCAUUAUACCUCAAUGCUCAAGCUCUUAAGCAAAGCAAAAGCAAGUUCACAAAGGAACUAUAGCAACUAAGGUACCUGAAAACAAUCCAGCACAGUCAAUACACAACUCAAACAAAAAGUCAAACAGAAAAUUACAAGUCCACAGCACAAACAGAUAACAAGCAUCAAUGCACAAAGGUGCAAGCCACAAGGCCUAAGCAUAAGUCUCAAUGCCUAUAAAAC
RNAcentral lists this long non-coding RNA (358 nucleotides) under Lathyrus oleraceus (garden pea). RNAcentral describes it as "Pisum sativum (pea) long non-coding RNA (PSAT_LNC039156)". Lineage: Eukaryota; Viridiplantae; Streptophyta; Magnoliopsida; Fabales; Fabaceae. The record is from RNAcentral.